GACGAACGCUGGCGGCGCGCUUAACACAUGCAAGUCGAACGGAAAGGCCUGCUUUCCCUUGUGGAUUGCGGGUACUCGAGUGGCUAACGGGUGAGUAACACGUGAGUGAUCUGCCCCCAACUUGGGUAUAAGCCUGGGAAACUGUGUCUAAUUCCCGAUAGGACUGCAGGGUGGUGCCUGUGGUGGAAAACGAUUUUCUAGUGGUUGGGGAUGAGCUCGCGGCCUAUCAGCUUGUUGGUGGGGUAAUGGCCUACCAAGGCGGCGACGGGUAGCCGGCCUGAGAGGGUGGACGGCCACAUUGGGACUGAGAUACGGCCCAGACUCCUACGGGAGGCAGCAGUGGGGAAUAAUGCACAAUGGGCGGAAGCCUGAUGCAGCGACGCCGCGUGGGGGAUGACGGCCUUCGGGUUGUAAACUCCUUUCGACAGCGAGGAAGCCACAUGGUUGGAAGGGUGGUGACGGUAGUGGUAGAAGAAGCACCGGCUAACUACGUG
This 494-nucleotide ribosomal RNA is filed under the name uncultured bacterium. RNAcentral's name for it is "partial 16S ribosomal RNA". It matches the Rfam family "Bacterial small subunit ribosomal RNA", at positions 28 to 507 of the family's 1533-position model. The record is from RNAcentral.